RNAcentral lists this ribosomal RNA (2348 nucleotides) under Haemophilus influenzae. Its description in RNAcentral is "bacterial LSU rRNA". It matches the Rfam family "Bacterial large subunit ribosomal RNA", at positions 1 to 2162 of the family's 2925-position model. Lineage: Bacteria; Pseudomonadati; Pseudomonadota; Gammaproteobacteria; Pasteurellales; Pasteurellaceae. The record is from RNAcentral.
UUAAGUGACUAAGCGUACAAGGUGGAUGCCUUGGCAAUCAGAGGCGAAGAAGGACGUGCUAAUCUGCGAAAAGCUUGGAUGAGUCGAUAAGAGGCGUUUAAUCCAAGAUAUCCGAAUGGGGAAACCCAGUAGAUGAAGAAUCUACUAUCAACAAGUGAAUUCAUAGCUUGUUGAGGCAAACCGGGAGAACUGAAACAUCUAAGUACCCCGAGGAAAAGAAAUCAACCGAGAUUUCGUCAGUAGCGGCGAGCGAAAGCGAAAGAGCCAGUAAGUGAUAGCAGUAUAGUGAGGAGAAUGUGUUGGGAAGCACAAUCAAAGAGGGUGAUAAUCCCGUAUCUAAAAACCAUAUUGUGGUACUAAGCUAACGAGAAGUAGGGCGGGACACGUGAUAUCCUGUUUGAAGAAGGGGGGACCAUCCUCCAAGGCUAAAUACUCCUGAUUGACCGAUAGUGAACCAGUACUGUGAAGGAAAGGCGAAAAGAACCCCGGUGAGGGGAGUGAAAUAGAACCUGAAACCUUGUACGUACAAGCAGUGGGAGCCCCAUCACUUAAUCCGAUUGGAAGGUGAUGAAAAGCAACCGCACUUAAACAAUGGUAAGAGGAGCGAAGCGAGUCAAACCACCCAAAAGAAGCAGUGGGAUUAAGUGAUGGGGUGACUGCGUACCUUUUGUAUAAUGGGUCAGCGACUUAUAUUUUGUAGCGAGGUUAACCGAAUAGGGGAGCCGAAGGGAAACCGAGUCUUAACUGGGCGAGUAGUUGCAAGGUAUAGACCCGAAACCCGGUGAUCUAGCCAUGGGCAGGUUGAAGGUUGGGUAACACUAACUGGAGGACCGAACCGACUAAUGUUGAAAAAUUAGCGGAUGACUUGUGGCUGGGGGUGAAAGGCCAAUCAAACCGGGAGAUAGCUGGUUCUCCCCGAAAUCUAUUUAGGUAGAGCCUUGAGGUGACACCUUUGGGGGUAGAGCACUGUUUCGGCUAGGGGUCCAUCCCGGAUUACCAACCCGAUGCAAACUACGAAUACCAAAGAGUGAUACUCAGGAGACACACGGCGGGUGCUAACGUCCGUCGUGGAGAGGGAAACAACCCAGACCGCCAGCUAAGGUCCCCAAGUCUAUAUUAAGUGGGAAACGAAGUGGGAAGGCUUAGACAGCUAGGAUGUUGGCUUAGAAGCAGCCAUCAUUUAAAGAAAGCGUAAUAGCUCACUAGUCGAGUCGGCCUGCGCGGAAGAUGUAACGGGGCUGAAAUAUAGCACCGAAGCUGCGGCAUCAGGCGUAUCACUAAUACGCCUUACGAUUAACAAGCUAGAAUGGCACGAAGCGUCAUGAAAGGUUGUUCAAGCAACCCGAACGUUGAGUCGGGCAUCUUAGAGUAAGGAUGAUUAGUGAUACGCCUGUUGGGUAGGGGAGCGUUGUGUAAGCGGAAGAAGGUUCAUCGAGAGGUGGGCUGGACGUAUCACAAGUGCGAAUGCUGACAUAAGUAACGAUAAAACGGGUGAAAAACCCGUUCGCCGGAAGACCAAGGGUUCCUGUCCAACGUUAAUCGGGGCAGGGUGAGUCGGCUCCUAAGGCGAGGCUGAAAAGCGUAGUCGAUGGGAAACAGGUUAAUAUUCCUGUACUUGGUAAAGCUGCGAUGUGGGGACGGAGUAGGUUAGGUUAUCGCACUGUUGGAUAUGUGCGUUUAAGUUGGUAGGUGGGAAGUUUAGGCAAAUCCGGACUUCCUUAACACAGAGAGAUGAUGACGAGGCUCUACGGAGCUGAAGUAACUGAUACCACACUUCCAGGAAAAGCCACUAAGCGAAAGGCUUUACUAAACCGUACUGAAAACCGACACAGGUGGUCAGGUAGAGAAUACUCAGGCGCUUGAGAGAACUCGGGUGAAGGAACUAGGCAAAAUAGCACCGUAACUUCGGGAGAAGGUGCGCCGGCGUAGAUUGUAAGGGCUAGCCCCUGAAGGUUGAACCGGUCGAAGUGACCCGCUGGCUGCAACUGUUUAUUAAAAACACAGCACUCUGCAAACACGAAAGUGGACGUAUAGGGUGUGAUGCCUGCCCGGUGCUGGAAGGUUAAUUGAUGGUGUCAUCGCAAGAGAAGCACCUGAUCGAAGCCCCAGUAAACGGCGGCCGUAACUAUAACGGUCCUAAGGUAGCGAAAUUCCUUGUCGGGUAAGUUCCGACCUGCACGAAUGGCAUAAUGAUGGCCAGGCUGUCUCCACCCGAGACUCAGUGAAAUUGAAAUCGCCGUGAAGAUGCGGUGUACCCGCGGCUAGACGGAAAGACCCCGUGAACCUUUACUAUAGCUUGACACUGAACAUUGAAUUUUGAUGUGUAGGAUAGGUGGGAGACUUAGAAG